AAUUGGAAACAAUAAAGAGGAGAGAGAUUCUGUCCCUGAGAUAAAAAUCUAGAAGAUACUUUAUUAAUAAAGUAUCUUCUAGAUUUUUAUCUCAGGGACAGAAUCUCUCACCUCUUUAUUGUUUCCAAGU
Non-coding RNA from Pelobates cultripes (western spadefoot toad), 130 nucleotides. Lineage: Eukaryota; Metazoa; Chordata; Amphibia; Anura; Pelobatidae. The record is from the annotation of a GenBank genome assembly.